Molecule: ribosomal RNA, 497 nt
Filed under: uncultured bacterium
Lineage: Bacteria
Description: partial 16S ribosomal RNA
Rfam family: Bacterial small subunit ribosomal RNA
Source: RNAcentral
GAUGAACGCUGGCGGCGUGCCUAAUACAUGCAAGUCGAGCGAACAGAUGAGGAGCUUGCUCCUCUGACGUUAGCGGCGGACGGGUGAGUAACACGUGGGUAACCUACCUAUAAGACUGGGAUAACUCCGGGAAACCGGAGCUAAUACCGGAUAACAUUUAGAACCGCAUGGUUCUAUAGUGAAAGAUGGUUUUGCUAUCACUUAUAGAUGGAUCCGCGCCGUAUUAGCUAGUUGGUAAGGUAACGGCUUACCAAGGCAACGAUACGUAGCCGACCUGAGAGGGUGAUCGGCCACACUGGAACUGAGACACGGUCCAGACUCCUACGGGAGGCAGCAGUAGGGAAUCUUCCGCAAUGGGCGAAAGCCUGACGGAGCAACGCCGCGUGAGUGAUGAAGGUCUUCGGAUCGUAAAACUCUGUUAUUAGGGAAGAACAAAUGUGUAAGUAACUGUGCACGUCUUGACGGUACCUAAUCAGAAAGCCACGGCUAACUACGUG